CGGGUGAGUAACGCGUGAGUAACCUGCCUUACACAAGGGGAUAGCCGUUGGAAACGACGAAUAAUACCCUAUGACAUAAACUCUUCGCAUGAGGAGCUUAUCAAAGAUUUAUCGGUGUAAGAUGGACUCGCGUCUGAUUAGCUAGUUGGUGAGGUAACGGCCCACCAAGGCGACGAUCAGUAGCCGGCUUGAGAGAGUGUACGGCCACAUUGGGACUGAGACACGGCCCAGACUCCUACGGGAGGCAGCAGCU
RNAcentral lists this ribosomal RNA (253 nucleotides) under uncultured Anaerococcus sp. RNAcentral's name for it is "partial 16S ribosomal RNA". It matches the Rfam family "Bacterial small subunit ribosomal RNA", at positions 103 to 355 of the family's 1533-position model. Lineage: Bacteria; Bacillati; Bacillota; Tissierellia; Tissierellales; Peptoniphilaceae. The record is from RNAcentral.